UACGUAGGGUGCGAACGUUGUUCGGAAUCACUGGGCGUAAAGAGCGCGUAGGCGGUCUGAUAAGUCCUGUGUGAAAGCCCCCGGCUUAACCGGGGAAUUGCACAGGAUACUGUCAGGCUAGAGUGCAGGAGGGGAGAGCGGAAUUCCUGGUGGAGCGGUGAAAUGUGUAGAUAUCAGGAGGAACGCCGGUGGCGAAAGCGGCUCUCUGGUCUGCAACUGACGCUGAGGUGCGAAAGCUAGGGGAGCAAACGGG
RNAcentral lists this ribosomal RNA (253 nucleotides) under uncultured bacterium. RNAcentral's name for it is "partial 16S ribosomal RNA". It matches the Rfam family "Bacterial small subunit ribosomal RNA", at positions 524 to 776 of the family's 1533-position model. The record is from RNAcentral.